CUGCAUCGUCUCUUUGGCAUCUUUAGAGAUCUUGGCGUUGGCGGGCAAGGCCUUCUUCAUGAUCCGGCUGACGUUAGCGAUCGGCAAGAACCUGUCUUGCUCUCUUGGAGACAAGGAGGACUGUCCGUUCUGGUUGUUCCCGUUUUGCCCUCCACCGGAAUCCCUGUCGGAAUCCCCCAUUUCUGAAAAUUACAAGGAAUAAAAAAAUAAACUUUACUCUUUUUUCAAAUCAUUUCCAUCAAUGAUUCGAAAUCGAAUUCAAUUGGUGGUUGACUUGAGUGGGAAGACUGAAGCGAGAAAAUUUAGGGUUUUAGAAAGAGUAAAAAGAGCAGGUGUGAAUUGUUAAGUGUCGGCUGGUAUUGUACACAGUGGUGAAGGAGUCGCCGGAGCUUAUAUAAAGAGAGGACGCACGACUUCUGCUCACUUGACACGUGAUCUUAU
This is a long non-coding RNA of Arabidopsis thaliana (thale cress), 441 nucleotides long. RefSeq annotates it as other RNA. NCBI's taxonomy places the organism in Eukaryota, Viridiplantae, Streptophyta, Magnoliopsida, Brassicales, Brassicaceae. The transcript has a single exon. The record is from RefSeq.